UACGGAGGGUGCAAGCGCUAAUCGGAACUACUGGGCGUAAAGGGUGCGUAGGCGGUUUAAUAAGUUAAGUGUGAAAGUCCCGGGCUUAACCUGGGGAAGUCAUUUAAGACUGUUAGACUAGAGUAUGGGAGAGGGUAGUGGAAUUUCCGGUGUAGCGGUGAAAUGCGUAGAGAUCGGAAGGAACACCAGUGGCGAAGGCGGCUACCUGGCCUAAUACUGACGCUGAGGCACGAAAGCAUGGGGAGCAAACAGGAUUAGAUACCCUGGUAGUCCAUGCUGUAAACGAUGUCAACUAGCUGUUGGUUGUAUAAAUGCAAUUAGUAGCGCAGCAAACGCGAUAAGUUGACCGCCUGGGGAUACGGCCGCAAGAUUAAAACUCAA
RNAcentral lists this ribosomal RNA (381 nucleotides) under uncultured bacterium. Its description in RNAcentral is "bacterial SSU rRNA". It matches the Rfam family "Bacterial small subunit ribosomal RNA", at positions 524 to 904 of the family's 1533-position model. The record is from RNAcentral.